This is a long non-coding RNA of Cebus imitator (Panamanian white-faced capuchin), 1305 nucleotides long. RefSeq lists it as uncharacterized. NCBI's taxonomy places the organism in Eukaryota, Metazoa, Chordata, Mammalia, Primates, Cebidae. The transcript has 2 exons. The record is from RefSeq and is a predicted model, not a curated record.
CCAGCUGUGGAAGGAUAAGGGGCUGGGUAUCUCAGUGGCCUAUGCUGCCUGCCCUUGGGAGACCCAGACCCAGGGCUGCCCCCACCACAGGCUAGCUUGCAACUCUCCCCCAACUCCUCUCCUGCCUCACCAACAAAUAUUCACCAUGUGGAGGGUGAGGACCCAGAGAUGUAAGGAUCACCUGUCUCUACCCUGAAAACUUACAGAUGGGGUGACCUGAUAUUUACACAAAGUAGUAGCCUAUGCCAGCCACCCAAUGAGAAGACAGACAAGUACGAUGGAAAGCCUUCUCUUCAGACCUAGGGAAGUGGUGUUGAAGAAAGCAUAGGUCUGAAGAGAAGUUAAGGAAGGGAUCUCAAGCAGGACAUGAACAAAGUUGCAAAGGCCUCCUGCAAACCUGGGGAAGAGGAUUCAUAGAACAAACAACGCAUGUUGGGCAGUUGCAAAAAGCAUGGCUGGAGAGGUCACCGCUGGAUUGCCCCUUUUAUUUCGGUUCUCCAAAUGCCGCUUCUUUUUAACACUCUUUUCUCAACUGUCCUCUCUACAAAACACUUUACUUACAAUACUCCGGUUAUCGCCCUUUCCGGCUCCCUCAAUCCUCACACUCCCUCCUCUCCAAGCCUCUAAUCCUUGAGUUCCUAAUUUAGUCCUCAGGUCUCCCUCCCUAGUAGCUUCUCGAUCGCUUUCUUCGUUCAAGUUCCCUCUCCCCUGUCAUUUGUUUCCAAGCCCCGCCCUCGAUCUCUCUACAGCGGCUCCACCUUCCUACUCCCAGUUCAUACUCUAUCCCUCCCGCUCACCCGCACCACCAGACUCCGGGAUCCCUCCAAGAAGUGGCUGAAGGGAGGUAAAGCGCACGAACUCCACUCCGGUGCCAAAGGCCAGGAUGAAAGAGGCGAGGGCGGCAGGGACCAGGAGCAGUGCCGGGGCCAUUGCGAGAAAUGGAGGGGUGGGGAAAGGGGCGGGGUCGGGAUUCCCGCUACCACAGACCCCGCCCCCGCCCCCGCCCCCCGCACAGAACCCAGCGCAGGAGGGCGGGGCCCCUGCACGCCGCUCGCUGCCCGACUUCCGGCCCGCGGGGCGCCGCCUCUCACACCCAGCGGCGGACCGGUGCCGGGAUUCGUGUCCCAGCCUGCGGUGUCUCCAUCACAGAAGGGAAUGUUAGAAUCCCGUCUGUGUUAGAGACAGAGAGCUGUUAAGGGUAGCGGCUCUGCAGCCGCUCACAUGGAUUGAAUCUCAGCUCGUCUAGUUUUCCCAUCUAAAAUGAAAAGUGACUAUUUUACAACAAAAUAAAUUAAUGCUUAUUCU